RNAcentral lists this ribosomal RNA (795 nucleotides) under Triticum aestivum (bread wheat). RNAcentral describes it as "partial small subunit ribosomal RNA". The record is from RNAcentral. Lineage: Eukaryota; Viridiplantae; Streptophyta; Magnoliopsida; Poales; Poaceae.
AUGGAGUUCAAAGCGGCCGUUUUCACCGCCGCCGUGCUGGCCGUGCUCCUCUGCUCCCCGGCAUCGGCCCAGAAGAGUCCGCCCGCGCCGGCGCCGGUGUCCGUGUCAAUCCCGCCGUCCCUCGCGCCGGCGCCGGCGCCGGCCCCGCGCUACGUGGACCUGGCGGCGCUCCUCGACGUGGCCGGCCCGUUCCACACCUUCCUCGGUUACCUGCAGAAGACGAAGGUGAUCGAGACCUUCCAGGCCCAGGCCAACAAGACCGACGAGGGCAUCACCAUCUUCGUCCCCAAGGACUCGGCCUUCGCGGCGCUCAAGAAGUCCACCUUCUCCAACCUCACCAGCGACCAGCUCAAGACGCUGCUCCUCUACCACGCCUUCCCCAAGUACUACCCGCUGGCGCAGUUCAGGAACCUCAGCUCGCUCAACCCGGUGAACACCUUCGCCGGCUCGCCCUACACGCUCAACCUCACCGACGACAUGGGCAGCAUCAGCGUCGAGUCCAUGUGGUCCAAGCCCAAGAUCUCCAGCAGCGUCUACGCCACCAAGCCCAUCGCCGUCUACUCCAUCAACAAGGUGCUCCUGCCCAUGCAGCUCUUCAGCAAGGACCCGCCGCUGGCGCCGGCGCCCGCGCCCGCGCCGGAGUCAGGGGCGUCGGACAUCGCCCCCAGCCCGGGCGGCGCCAAAGCGGGCGCCGGGAACGGCAAGGCGGACUCGACGAGCGCCGGGCAUGUCGGUGCCGCGAAUUGCUUGGGGCUGCUGGCUGCCGCGGCAGGUGGCCUGAUGCUCCUGUGGUGA